ACACUGUACAAUGGAUUUCUUGGCUCCCGCAUCGAUGAAAAAACGCAGCAAAGCGCGAUAGGUAGUGUGAAUUGCAGAAUUCCGUGAAUCAUCGAAUUUUUGAACGCACAUUGCGCUCAAGUCUGCGGACUUGAGCAUGUCUGCCUCAGCGUCGUUUUAAAUGGC
This 165-nucleotide ribosomal RNA is filed under the name Cladophora goensis. Its description in RNAcentral is "5.8S ribosomal RNA". It matches the Rfam family "5.8S ribosomal RNA". From Rfam's summary of the family: 5.8S ribosomal RNA (5.8S rRNA) is a component of the large subunit of the eukaryotic ribosome. Lineage: Eukaryota; Viridiplantae; Chlorophyta; Ulvophyceae; Cladophorales; Cladophoraceae. The record is from RNAcentral.